RNAcentral lists this ribosomal RNA (463 nucleotides) under uncultured bacterium. RNAcentral describes it as "bacterial SSU rRNA". It matches the Rfam family "Bacterial small subunit ribosomal RNA", at positions 30 to 486 of the family's 1533-position model. The record is from RNAcentral.
AUUGAACGCUGGCGGCAGGCUUAACACAUGCAAGUCGAGCGGAGCGAGGGUGCUUGCACCUUAGCUUAGCGGCGGACGGGUGAGUAAUGCUUAGGAAUCUGCCUAUUAGUGGGGGACAACAUUCCGAAAGGAAUGCUAAUACCGCAUACGCCCUACGGGGGAAAGCAGGGGAUCUUCGGACCUUGCGCUAAUAGAUGAGCCUAAGUCGGAUUAGCUAGUUGGUGGGGUAAAGGCCUACCAAGGCGACGAUCUGUAGCGGGUCUGAGAGGAUGAUCCGCCACACUGGGACUGAGACACGGCCCAGACUCCUACGGGAGGCAGCAGUGGGGAAUAUUGGACAAUGGGCGCAAGCCUGAUCCAGCCAUGCCGCGUGUGUGAAGAAGGCCUUUUGGUGUAAAGCACUUUAAGCGAGGAGGAGGCUACUUAGAUUAAUACUCUAGGAUAGUGGACGUUACUCGCAGAA